Molecule: long non-coding RNA, 755 nt
Organism: Daphnia magna
Lineage: Eukaryota; Metazoa; Arthropoda; Branchiopoda; Diplostraca; Daphniidae
Exons: 2
Source: RefSeq, a predicted model, not a curated record
CACAAGAGCCUUUUUUUCCCCUACCUAUCUUCUGUGCUAACUCUAACCAAGUCAAUAUUGAAGGAGACCACCAUUUUUCUUCAAAUUUUUUAUUUUUUUUUAUUUUGUGUUGAAUGUUUGUCUCUAGACCAAACGGUUGGUCCAACAUUCGCUCAACCGAAUAGAAAGAAGAAGAAAAGAAAAAAAAGGAAAGAGCUCCAGAGACGGGGGAGAAAGAAAAACAGGUGGUCACGACACUAGGGCGCCAUCUUGGAUUCGAGUGCUUCACAGCAGCAACAGGCAAUGGACACAUUCCGAUUUGAUAGACCAUGCAUGUGAGACACACGAACACAGUUCUGAAUCCGAAUCGUUUCCCAAGGGUGAAGCGAACCCCCAGUUCGGAGACAAAAAGUAUCCACUGAUGUUAUCCCGUGGAGCUUUGGGAUAGGAAAAUAUCAGCCAACAGCUCGAGGCUCUUUCUGUUAAUGUAUAAAUGUAUACCUUUCGCUCCUUCGUCUACUUUCAAAACUUACCUUCAUUUCGUACGUUUUUCUUUUCUUUCGCUUCGUUUACCUGGGCACGUCAUUUCACCAUUCAGGUUUGCCUGCGGUUUCAUCACCCGACGUCCUCCGUCGGAUGACCCGAAUUCGAGAACAUUCUUCACGUGAUACCGUUAUUCUCCUAUAAAGAAAAAGAAACAGCUUGCAUCUAAUGAGUAUUUUAAGUUAGCAACAAGGCUUCUGCUUUCAAAAAAUAAAAUGCCAACAGUUAAGAAA